GGCUCGGUGGUUUAGCUGUCUAACUUCACGGUGCUCAGGAGUAGGCCCGAGACGCGGGUUCGAAUCCUGCCCAAGCCG
RNAcentral lists this transfer RNA (78 nucleotides) under Nippostrongylus brasiliensis. It matches the Rfam family "tRNA". From Rfam's summary of the family: Transfer RNA (tRNA) molecules are approximately 80 nucleotides in length. Their secondary structure includes four short double-helical elements and three loops (D, anti-codon, and T loops). Lineage: Eukaryota; Metazoa; Nematoda; Chromadorea; Rhabditida; Heligmosomidae. The record is from Rfam by way of RNAcentral.